This 4716-nucleotide ribosomal RNA is filed under the name Helianthus annuus (common sunflower). Its description in RNAcentral is "28S ribosomal RNA". The stretch from base 1 to 1544 matches the Rfam family "Eukaryotic small subunit ribosomal RNA". Lineage: Eukaryota; Viridiplantae; Streptophyta; Magnoliopsida; Asterales; Asteraceae. The record is from RNAcentral.
GUACUGGUUGAUCUGCAGUAGUCAUAUGCUUGUUCAAGAUUAGCAUGAUGUGUAGUAUGAAAAUUAGAUGUGAAUGCGAAUGGUCAUUAAUCAGUUAUAGUUUGUUUGAUGGUAUUUGCUACUCGGAUACGUAGUAUUCUAGAGUAUAGUGCAAACCCGAUUUGGAAGGGAUGCAUUUAUUAGAUAAAGGUCGACGGGGCUUUGCCGUUGCUGCGAUGAUUCAUGAUAAUCGACGGAUGACGGCUUGUGCGGCGAGAUCAUUCAAUUUUGCCUAUCAUUUCGAUGGUAGGAUAGUGGCUACUAUGGUGGUGAGGGUGACGGAGAUUAGGGUUCGAUUCGGAGAGGGAGCUGAGAACGGUACAUCAGGAAGGCAGGGCGCAAUUACCAUCUGACGGGGAGGUAGUGAAUAAUAAAUACGGGUAUACGAGUUGGUAUUGGAAUGAGUACAUUAAUCCUUAACGAGGAUCAUUGGAGGGAGUUGGUGCAGCGCGGUAUUCAGUCCAAUAGGUAUAUUUAAGUUGUUGCAGUUAAAAGUCGUAGUUGGACUUUGGGUUGGGUCGGCGGUCGCAUAGGUGUGACGGUUUAUCGUCCUUUGUCGGCGAUGCGUCUACCUUAAUGGGCGGGUGUGCUCGGGUUGUUACUUUGAGAAUUAGAGUGUCAAGCAGCUACGUCUGUAUAUUAGCAUGGGAUAAUAUAGGAUUUCGGUCUAUUAGUUGGCUUCGGGAUGGAGUAUGAUUACAGGGACAGUCGGGGGAUUCGUAUUUCAUAGUCAGAGGUGAAUUCUUGGAUUUAUGAAGACGAAAUGCGAAGCAUUUGCAAGGAUGUUUUCAUUAAUCAGAAGAAGUUGGGGGUCGAGACGAUAGAUACGUCUAGUUACAUAACGAUGCGACAGGGAUAGCGGAUGUUGCUUUUAGGAUCGUGGACUUAUGAGAAUAAGUUUUUGGGUUCGGGGGGAGUAUGGUCGCAGGCUGAAUUAAGGAUUGACGGAAGGGCACAGGAGUGGAGCUGCGGUUAAUUUGAUCAACGGGGAAUUACAGGUCAGAUAGUAGGAUUGACAGAUGAGAGCUUUUCUUGAUUCUAUGGGUGGUGGUGCAUGGCGUUUUAGUUGGUGGAGCGAUUUGUCUGGUUAAUUCGUUAACGACGAGACUCAGCUGUAAUAGCUAUGUGGAGGUAUCUCAUGGCAGUUCUUAGAGGGAUAUGGCUUUUAGGCACGGAAGUUUGAGGCAUAAGGUUGUGAUGCCUUAGAUGUUUGGGCGACGCGGCUACUGAUGUAUUCACGAGUAUAUAGCUUGGCGACAGGCCGGGAAUUUUGAAUUUCAUCGUGAUGGGGAUAGAUAUUGCAUUGUUGGUCUUAACGAGGAUUCUAGUAAGCGCGAGUCAUAGCUCGGUUGAUAGUCUGCUUUGUACACGCGUCGUCUACGAUUGAUGGUCGGUGAGUGUUAGGAUGUGGCGAGUGGGGGUUCGUGCGCGACGUCGGAGAUUCAUGACUUAUAUUUAGAGGAGGAAGUGUAAAGGUUUCGUAGGUGACUGCGGAAGGAUAUUGUCGACCUGCAGAGAAGACCGUGAAAGUUAACAUUGGCUUGCGGGACGAGCAUUUGUUUGGCUUGUGAGUCUUGUGAGUGCGUUAUGGUGGACAUACUUUGGUUUUGUCAUGGAUGUAUGUUGAAAUAAAACCGGCGAGAUGUGCAAGGAAACAAAUUAAGAACGUGUGUUGCGCCGUUGCGGUGUGCGAUGUUCGUGGUUCUUUGUAACUUAAACGAUUCGGCACGGAUAUUCGGCUACGAUCGAUGAGAAGUAGAAAUGCGAUAUUGGUGUGAUUGCGAUCGUGAACAUCGAGUUUUUGACGCAGUUGCGCCGAAGCAUUCGGUUGAGGGAGUUGCUGGGGUCAGAUAGUGCCCAGGAUCCUAUAGGGUGUUUGUGUUGGGGCGGAGAUUGGUUCCGUGCAUGGGUGGUUGGCUAAUAGGAGUUCUCGGAGGGAGCGGUAGUGGUGGUUGAUAGAGUGUUCGUGUGUGCGUUUACUUUUUGAGAGUAGAUGCUCUUAAGUACUGAUGUGUUGUUUAUGAGAUGCUUCGAUGGACCAGGUAGGCGGGAUACCGUGAGUUUAGCAUAUAUAGCGGAGGAAAGAACUUAUAGGAUUCCUUAGUAGGCGAGCGAACGGGAAGCAGCUUGAAAUGGGCGGUUGUGUCGAAUUGUAGUCUGGAGAGGUCUCAGGGCGGACGGGCAAGUCUGGAGGGGGGCGGAGAGGGUGAGAGCCGUGUGCCGGACUGUGCACGAGGCGUGUUGGAGUCGGGUUGUUUGGGAUGCAGCCAUAGGGCGGUAAUUCGUCAAGGUAAUAUGGGUGAGACGAUAGAACAGUACGCGAGGGAAGAUGAAGGAUUUGAAAGAGAGUCAAGAGUGUUGAAUUGUGGGAGGGAGCGAAUGGGGGCGGGAUGCGUCGGUGGAUGUGGACGGUGUAGUCGGUCGCGAUCGGUCGGGACGUGGACGGUGCGGAUUGGUAGGGGCAAGCAGGCUGUUGAUAUGCUGUGGAGAUGCGUUGUGCGAUGUGGUUGGCAGGGGCGUACGGGUGUUCGGACUGGUGUCUGGACGGCUGCGGGACCAUUCGGCCGUUUGAAACGGACAAGGAGUUGACAUGUGUGCGAGUCACGGGUGAGUAACCGCAGGCGAGGAAGUGAUUGGCGGGAUCCUCGUGGGGUGCACGCGACGACUUGAUCUUCUGAGAGGGUUCGAGUGUGAGAUGCUGUCGGGACCGAAGAUGGUGAACUAUGCUGAGGGGGCGAAGCAGAGGAACUUGGUGGAGGCCGAGCGAUACUGAGUGCAAUGUUCGUCUGAUUGGGUAUAGGGGGAAGAUAUGAACGUUAGUAGCUGGUUCCUCGAAGUUUCUCAGGAUAGCUGGAGCCGGGUGCGAGUUUAUCGGGUAAGGAAUGAUUAGAGGAUGGGGGGCAACGCCUGAUAUUCUAACUUUAAUAGGUAGGACGGGCGGCUGUUUGUUGAGCGGCAGGAUGAGAGUCAGUGGGCAUUUUUGGUAAGCAGAAUGGCGAUGCGGGAUGACGGAAGGGGUUACGGUGCAAUGGCGUAACUAGAACAAGGGUGUUGGUCGAUUAGAGCAGGAGGUGGUCUGGAAGUCGAAUCGUAAGGAGUGUGUAAAUACUGCGAUAAUAGCCGAAAUGGAUGGGUUAAGCGGCGAUACCGGCGUGAGGCAGUGCAGGCCGAUGAGUAGGAGGGCGGGCGGUCGUGCAAACUUGGGGUGAGCCGGGCGGAGGGCGUCGGUGGGAUUUGGUGGUAGUAGAAUAUUCAAUGAGAAUUUGAAGGCGAGAGGGGAAGGUUCAUGUGAAGGCAUUGCAUGGGUUAGUCGAUCUAAGAGGGGGGAAGCCGUCAGAUAGGUGUUUACGGAGUUCGAAGGGAUGGGUUAAAUUCUGAACGGGAGUGGCGGUGAGGACGUUAGGGAUUCGGAGAGUCGGGGGGGCUCGGGAGAGUUAUUUUUCUGUUUAAGCUGCCACUGGAACGAUCAGUGGAGGUAGGGUAGCGGUGGAAGGAGACGUGGCGGUGUCGGUGCGCCCGGGGCCUUGAAUCGGAGGACGAGUGUCCACGCGGUGUAUCAUACGAUAGGUUCAAGGUGAAGCUUGGUCGAUGGAAAUGUAGGAAGGGAAGUCGGCAAAUGGAUCGUACUCGGGAAAGGAUUGGUUGAGGGUGGGCGGGGGUCUGUCGACCGUCGGUGUCGGUGGAUGCUGAGUGCUUCGGGCGAGAGGGGUACGGUGCGGCGGGGGACGGACUGGGAAGGCUUUCGGGGGCUUCCGGGCGUCGAACAGCAUCAGAAUGGUAGGAAGGGGAAUCGACUGUUUAUUAAACAAGCAUUGCGAUGGUCUGGGAUGCUAAGCAAUGUGAUUUUGCCAGUGUUGAAUGUCAAGUGAAGAAUUCAACAAGCGGGGUAACGGGGGAGUAUAUGAUUCUUAAGGUAGCAAUGCUGUAUUAAUUAGUGAGCGCAUGAUGGAUUAACGAGAUUCAUGUCUGUUAUAUCAGCGAAACAGCAAGGGAGGGCUUGGAGAUAGCGGGGAAGAGACCUGUUGAGCUUGAUUAGUCGAUUUGUGAAUGAUUGAGAGGUGUAGUAUAGUGGGAGCCUCGGGCGAAGUGAAUACAUACUUUUAACGUUAUUUUAUUAUUCGUGAAUCGGAAGCGGGGCAGCUUUUUUGGACCAAGGCGCUCGGCGGGUGAUCGGGGGAAGAAUUGUAGGUGGGGAGUUUGGCUGGGGGGCAUUGUUAAAAGAUAGCAGGUGUCUAAGAUGAGUCACGAGAAAGAAUUGUGUAGAAGAAGGGUAAAGCUCGUUUGAUUUGAUUUCAGUAGAUAGACGUGAAGGUGGCUAAGAUCUUUAGACUUCGGAUUUGAAGCUAGAGGUGUAGAAAGUUACCAGGGAUAAUGGCUUGUGGAGCAGCGUUUAGGACGUUGUUUUUGAUCUUCGAUGUCGGUUUUAUAUUGUGAAGCAGAUUCAAGUGUUGGAUUGUUCACCAAUAGGGAAGUGAGCUGGGUUUAGACGUGUGAGACAGGUUAGUUUUACCUAUGAUGAUAGUGUCGCAUAGUAUUAACUAGUACGAGAGGAAGUUGAUUCGCAAUUGGUCAUGGCUUGGUUGAAAGCAGUGGGGAAGUACGUGCGCUGGAUUAUGAUGACGCUCUAAGUCAGAAUCGGGUAGAAGCGAGCGUGUGCCGUGUGUUUGCGACAGCAGU